ACGGGCUGGUGGACUUGUCUGCGGGUUCCUCGGGUCCUUGGUGCAGAGGAAAGAUGGUUGAAGCAGAUCGCCCAGGAAAGCUCUUUAUUGGUGGGCUUAAUACAGAAACAAAUGAGAAAGCCCUGGAGGCAGUGUUUGGCAAAUAUGGACGAAUAGUGGAAGUGCUUUUGAUGAAGGACCGAGAAACCAAUAAGUCAAGAGGAUUUGCUUUUGUCACAUUUGAAAGCCCAGCAGAUGCAAAGGAUGCUGCCAGAGACAUGAAUGGAAAGUCCUUAGAUGGAAAAGCCAUCAAGGUGGAGCAAGCCACCAAACCAUCAUUUGAAAGUGGCAGACGUGGACUACCUCCACCUCCAAGAAGCAGAGGCCCUCCCAGAGGUCUUCGAGGAGGAAGAGGGGGAAGUGGAGGAACCAGAGGACCCCCAUCACGGGGAGGACACAUGGAUGAUGGUGGCUACUCCAUGAAUUUUACUUUGAGUUCUUCCAGAGGACCUCUUCCAGUAAAAAGAGGACCACCACCAAGAAGUGGAGGUCCUCCUCCUAAAAGAUCAGCACCUUCAGGACCAGUUCGCAGCAGCAGUGGAAUGGGAGGAAGAGCUCCUGUGUCACGUGGAAGAGAUGGUUAUGGAGGCCCACCACGAAGAGAGCCCCUGCCUUCUCGUAGAGAUGUUUAUUUGUCCCCGAGAGAUGAUGGAUAUUCCACUAAAGACAGCUAUUCAAGCAGAGACUAUCCAAGUUCUCGAGAUACACGAGAUUAUGCACCACCACCAAGAGAUUAUACUUACCGUGAUUAUGGUCAUUCCAGUUCACGAGAUGACUAUCCAUCAAGAGGCUAUAGUGAUAGAGAUGGAUAUGGUCGGGAGCGUGACUAUUCGGAUCAUCCAAGUGGAGGUUCCUACAGAGAUUCGUAUGAGAGUUAUGGUUGAACCUAAUGGUCAUACAGUCAUGGAGUGCUGAUUGAUUCACAGUAGAUAAAGCUGGCAGUAAGAGACAGUCAAAUGAUCAGAGUUGUCUUUGAAGCAGAGGAAUGCUGAGACUAAGCCACAGCACUUACUGACCCAGUACUCAUCAGAAUUGGUUUGGUACAGGCAAUAGAUUUUUUUGUCUUCAAGGGAGGGAGGCUGGUUAAACCUUAAUUCAAAUUAACCCAUUAGAAAAAGGGAGACUAGUCGGUAAGUGGAAGUACCUGUCCAAGACGUUCGGGUGACUUUUUAUAGACAGUUCAGUAGUUCGGACAAACUGAUGGGGCAGCUGGGCAAUUUAGACUGCUCAAUGACUAGAAGAAAAUUGAAUUAGCUGCGACUGUAACUCCAUGGUGGAGUGCUUGCCUAAGUACCAGUGAGGACUAGAGUUCAACCCCUGGCGGCACACAGACACAUUUCAAUCAGAAAAGUUAUACCUCAGUGGUAACUUUAUUCACUGAUGUCUGAUUUUCAGCAAGGAACCCAUUUGAAUUGCCUCAUAAGGAAGAAAUAUUAUUAGUCGUCCUGUAAAACUUAGGGGAAGAGCAAUGCUAGGAAAUGAAAGUAAAAACUAGAAACAUUAUUAGGCCACUGGAGUGCACGUUGGAAACAAAAAUAGGUCACUAGGUCGCUGUCGUUUUUAUAAAGGUACUUUACCCUCAGGUCUCCAUCUCGGAAACUAAUCAUGAUAGUUUACUGCUUUGGAAACUAAGAGCCAGUCAUGUAAAUGCAGAUAUUCUCAACAGAAGCAGGUCAAAGAAUUUAACUCAACCUCUGCGAUUUUUCUUAUGAAUUUGUUCCAAUACUGUUAUAGUUAAAAUUUCAAGCCUUCCAUACUCUAAUCAGGCCUGGAGUGGGUUCUCUUGACAUUUUAUGUAAAUUUUUUAAAGAUAGUUUGUCAUGGUCAAUACUAGAUAAAUAUGAAUGUUAAAGUAGGGAGAAAAAUUUGAGACCUUUUUGACAAAUGGUAGAAUAGAGAAUCAGCAGGCCUAAAUCCGCAAUUACAAAACUUAGCCUUGGUUCUUUUGCCUAAACUCUGGUUGUAGAAGAAUUUGAGUAAUCCAGAAAGUGUUGUGGUUUAUGUGGUAGCUGGAUGUAGAACAUAGGGAAUAUAGAUCAUUUUUUGGAAUGUUUUGUACUGAAACCCAAUAAAACUUGAACAUGUAUC
RNAcentral lists this long non-coding RNA (2127 nucleotides) under Rattus norvegicus (Norway rat). Its description in RNAcentral is "long non-coding RNA NONRATT031331". The record is from RNAcentral. Lineage: Eukaryota; Metazoa; Chordata; Mammalia; Rodentia; Muridae.